This 344-nucleotide unclassified non-coding RNA is filed under the name soil metagenome. RNAcentral describes it as "partial contains 5.8S ribosomal RNA, internal transcribed spacer 2, and large subunit ribosomal RNA". The stretch from base 1 to 120 matches the Rfam family "5.8S ribosomal RNA", at positions 35 to 154 of the family's 154-position model. The record is from RNAcentral.
GAUGAAGAACGUAGCGAAAUGCGAUAAGUAAUGUGAAUUGCAGAAUUCAGUGAAUCAUCGAAUCUUUGAACGCACAUUGCGCCCAUUAGUAUUCUAGUGGGCAUGCUUGUUCGAGCGUCAUUUCAACCCUUAAGCCCCUGUUGCUUAGCGUUGGGAGCCUACAGCCUGCUGUAGUUCCUCAAAGUUAGUGGCGGAGUCAGUUCACACUCUAGACGUAGUAAAAUCUUUAUCUCGCCUAUAGAUGAGCUGGCGCCUUGCCGUAAAAAACCCCUAAUCUUUUACAAGGUUGACCUCGGAUCAGGUAGGAAUACCCGCUGAACUUAAGCAUAUCAAUAAGCGGAGGA